This 235-nucleotide ribosomal RNA is filed under the name uncultured Staphylococcus sp. RNAcentral's name for it is "partial 16S ribosomal RNA". It matches the Rfam family "Bacterial small subunit ribosomal RNA", at positions 104 to 334 of the family's 1533-position model. The record is from RNAcentral. Lineage: Bacteria; Bacillati; Bacillota; Bacilli; Caryophanales; Staphylococcaceae.
GGGUGAGUAACACGUGGAUAACCUACCUAUAAGACUGGGAUAACUUCGGGAAACCGGAGCUAAUACCGGAUAAUAUUUUGAACCGCAUGGUUCAAAGUUAAAGACGGUCUUGCUGUCACUUAUAGAUGGAUCCGCGCUGCAUUAGCUAGUUGGUAAGGUAACGGCUUACCAAGGCAACGAUGCAUAGCCGACCUGAGAGGGUGAUCGGCCACACUGGAACUGAGACACGGUCCAG